RNAcentral lists this ribosomal RNA (440 nucleotides) under uncultured bacterium. RNAcentral describes it as "partial 16S ribosomal RNA". It matches the Rfam family "Bacterial small subunit ribosomal RNA", at positions 338 to 795 of the family's 1533-position model. The record is from RNAcentral.
CCUACGGGAGGCUGCAGUGGGGAAUAUUGCACAAUGGGGGAAACCCUGAUGCAGCGACGCCGCGUGAGUGAAGAAGUAUUUCGGUAUGUAAAGCUCUAUCAGCAGGGAAGAAAAUGACGGUACCUGAUUAAGAAGCCCCGGCUAACUACGUGCCAGCAGCCGCGAUAAUACGUAGGGGGCCAGCGUUAUCCGGAUUUACUGGGUGUAAAGGGGGCGUAGACGGCAGCACAAGUCUGGAGUGAAAUGCCGGGGCUUAACCCCGGAACUGCUGUGGAAACUGGGCAGCUAGAGUGCAGGAGAGGUAAGUGGAAUGCGUAGUGUAGCGGUGAAAUGCGUAGAUAGUAGGAGGAACACCAGUGGCGAAGGCAGCUUACUGGAGUGCAACUGACGUUGAGGCUCGAAAGCGUGGGGAGCAAACAGGAUUAGAUACCCGGGUAGUC